GAUGAAGAACGUAGCGAAAUGCGAUAAGUAAUGUGAAUUGCAGAGUUCAGUGAAUCAUCGAAUCUUUGAACGCACAUUGCGCCCGCCAGUAUUCUGGCGAGCAUGCCUGUUCGAGCGUCAUUUCAACCAUCAAGCCCCAGGCUUGUGUUGGAGCCCUGCGGCUGCCGCAGCCUCCCAAAACCAGUGGCGGGCUCGCUAUCACACCGAGUGCAGUAGUUUACUCUUCGCUCAGGGCGUGUGGCGGGUGCUAGUCGUGAAACCCCCAACUUCUCAAGGUUGACCUCGGAUCAGGUAGGAAUACCCGCUGAACUUAAGCAUAUCAAUAAGCGGAGGA
Molecule: unclassified non-coding RNA, 334 nt
Filed under: soil metagenome
Description: partial contains 5.8S ribosomal RNA, internal transcribed spacer 2, and large subunit ribosomal RNA
Rfam family: 5.8S ribosomal RNA (bases 1-120)
Source: RNAcentral